Vicia faba (fava bean) is the source of this 200-nucleotide non-coding RNA. NCBI's taxonomy places the organism in Eukaryota, Viridiplantae, Streptophyta, Magnoliopsida, Fabales, Fabaceae. The record is from the annotation of a GenBank genome assembly.
AUGUUCCUUUGUCUUUCUUGUAUAAUCCUGAUGAAUAAUAACUAUAACUUGGUUAUGUUACAUGUAUAUUUGCAAACGAUAAAUGAACUAUUUGAGACGAUUUUUUGGAGAUCCGAAAAAAUGACAGUUUUUGAUGCGGAAUGUUGUAUCGAGGGUAUUGUCAAGGUCAAUAUCAGUAGCAGAAACCACACUUUUUGCAG